Molecule: transfer RNA, 81 nt
Filed under: Apaloderma vittatum (bar-tailed trogon)
Lineage: Eukaryota; Metazoa; Chordata; Aves; Trogoniformes; Trogonidae
Rfam family: tRNA
About the family: Transfer RNA (tRNA) molecules are approximately 80 nucleotides in length. Their secondary structure includes four short double-helical elements and three loops (D, anti-codon, and T loops). Further hydrogen bonds mediate the characteristic L-shaped molecular structure. tRNAs have two regions of fundamental functional importance: the anti-codon, which is responsible for specific mRNA codon recognition, and the 3' end, to which the tRNAs corresponding amino acid is attached (by aminoacyl-tRNA synthetases). tRNAs cope with the degeneracy of the genetic code in two manners: having more than one tRNA (with a specific anti-codon) for a particular amino acid; and 'wobble' base-pairing, i.e. permitting non-standard base-pairing at the 3rd anti-codon position.
Source: Rfam by way of RNAcentral
GGCCAGUUAGCUCAGUGGUUUGAGCGCGGUGCUAACAACAAUGACAAAACUGAGGUCGCGGGUUCGAUUCCCGCUUGGUCC